AUUGAACGCUGGCGGAAUGCUUUACACAUGCAAGUCGAACGGUAGAGGGGGCAACCCCUUGAGAGUGGCGAACGGGUGAGUAAUAUAUCGGAACGUGCCCAGUCGUGGGGGAUAACGUAGCGAAAGUUACGCUAAUACCGCAUACGAUCUAAGGAUGAAAGCGGGGGAUCGCAAGACCUCGCGCGACUGGAGCGGCCGAUAUCAGAUUAGGUAGUUGGUAGGGUAAAGGCCUACCAAGCCAACGAUCUGUAGCUGGUCUGAGAGGACGACCAGCCACACUGGAACUGAGACACGGUCCAGACUCCUACGGGAGGCAGCAGUGGGGAAUUUUGGACAAUGGGCGAAAGCCUGAUCCAGCCAUUCCGCGUGCAGGAUGUAGGCCCUCGGGUUGUAAACUGCUUUUGUACAGAACGAAAAGGUUUCUAUUAAUACUAGGAGCUCAUGACGGUACUGUAAGAAUAAGCACCGGCUAACUACGUG
This 480-nucleotide ribosomal RNA is filed under the name uncultured bacterium. RNAcentral's name for it is "partial 16S ribosomal RNA". It matches the Rfam family "Bacterial small subunit ribosomal RNA", at positions 30 to 507 of the family's 1533-position model. The record is from RNAcentral.